Molecule: long non-coding RNA, 398 nt
Organism: Mastomys coucha (southern multimammate mouse)
Lineage: Eukaryota; Metazoa; Chordata; Mammalia; Rodentia; Muridae
Exons: 3
Source: RefSeq, a predicted model, not a curated record
UUAAUCCUGGAGGAUGCCUAGUGCCCCUUGUGUUUAAUCCUGGAGAUGCCUCGUGUCCUUUGGAGUGCACUCACCCAGCUGUCUUCAUCUGGCACCACAGCAGCAAUGCAUCCUUAGCAGACUUUUUCUCUUUGUUAUCUUCAGUCUCCACACUGAUAUCCUGGAUCUAAAGUUUAAGAAGAAAUAUUAGGCAAACACCCUACUGAUCUAUCUGCCUGAGAGCUGCUGAAAAACAGAUAAAGGCAGGGGAGGCCCCAGUCAUGUAUGAAAUGGACAUGUUCAUCACCAUCAGUCUUCAUGAGCUCUGGGUAUGCAAAGGAUGCUAUGAAUGAGGUUAUUGAAGACUUCCAAGAGGCAGUCAGAGUAUGCCCUGGAGCCACCCCAUUUCCUGACUGUUG